GAUGAACGCUGGCGGCGUGCCUAAUACAUGCAAGUCGAGCGAACAGAUAAGGAGCUUGCUCCUUUGACGUUAGCGGCGGACGGGUGAGUAACACGUGGAUAACCUACCUAUAAGACUGUGAUAACUUCGGGAAACCGGAGCUAAUACCGGAUAACAUAUUGAACCGCAUGGUUCAAUAGUGAAAGGCGGCUUUGCUGUCACUUAUAGAUUGAUCCGCGCCAUAUUAGCUAGUUGGUAAGGUAACGGCUUACCAAGGCAACGAUACGUAGCCGACCUGAGAGGGUGAUCGGCCACACUGGAACUGAGACACGGUCCAGACUCCUACGGGAGGCAGCAGUAGGGAAUCUUCCGCAAUGGGCGAGAGCCUGACGGAGCAACGCCGCGUGAGUGAUGAAGGUCUUCGGAUCGUAAAACUCUGUUAUCAGGGAAGAACAAAUGUGUAAGUAACUGUGCACAUCUUGACGGUACCUGAUCAGAAAGCCGCGGCUAACUACGUGCCAGCCGCCGCAGUAA
This 513-nucleotide ribosomal RNA is filed under the name uncultured bacterium. RNAcentral's name for it is "partial 16S ribosomal RNA". It matches the Rfam family "Bacterial small subunit ribosomal RNA", at positions 28 to 523 of the family's 1533-position model. The record is from RNAcentral.